RNAcentral lists this long non-coding RNA (290 nucleotides) under Elaeis guineensis (African oil palm). Its description in RNAcentral is "long non-coding RNA (EGUI_LNC076444)". The record is from RNAcentral. Lineage: Eukaryota; Viridiplantae; Streptophyta; Magnoliopsida; Arecales; Arecaceae.
GUUCCUUCUCAGAGAAGGACUCUUCCAUCUCUUCUAUGCCCAUAUAUCCCAAGGGUCAUUAGAUGGUGCGUGGGAUUAAGAGAACGCAUGAAAUAAAAGAAGGAAUUAAGAGAAGUAAACUAGAAGGACUUCUCCUCUUAAAUGCAAAAUUAAAUGGAGCGGCAUUUUUUUUUCUUGCAUAUGGAUUGGCAUAGAGGAGGUUGAUCUGAUAUGAAAUACUUUCAUAAAAAUUAGAUAAGCCACCUAUUUAAUUAUAGGUUCAAACCUAAUCACAUUAGGUCAAGGCAACA